UUUGGUGGCGAUAGCGAAGAGGUCACACCCGUUCCCAUACCGAACACGGAAGUUAAGCUCUUCAGCGCCGAUGGUAGUCGGGGGUUUCCCCCUGUGAGAGUAGGACGCCGCC
RNAcentral lists this ribosomal RNA (112 nucleotides) under Bacillus subtilis. Lineage: Bacteria; Bacillati; Bacillota; Bacilli; Caryophanales; Bacillaceae. The record is from RNAcentral.